RNAcentral lists this long non-coding RNA (250 nucleotides) under Citrus sinensis (sweet orange). Its description in RNAcentral is "long non-coding RNA (CSIN_LNC001721)". The record is from RNAcentral. Lineage: Eukaryota; Viridiplantae; Streptophyta; Magnoliopsida; Sapindales; Rutaceae.
AUUAUAAUUUUUUUCCCGUUUUGCCUCUAGUUUCUCUUAUAAUGUUCUGAAAAUUAUUUGUUGCAAAAUAAUGUGUCAUGUUCAUGUGCGUAGGAGUUAGAUUUGAGAUAAUGUUCUGAAAAUAACUUGGUUAAUGUUUGAAAUCUUGUUUAUAUUAGGUCUUAUUUUUCUAGCUAGGUUACUAUUAUGCUUGUAAUUUUAUUUUUCUAAAUAAUUAGAUUAUUAUCAUGCUAUCGCAGCAAGUUUGGAC